RNAcentral lists this non-coding RNA (45 nucleotides) under Schistosoma mansoni. The record is from RNAcentral. Lineage: Eukaryota; Metazoa; Platyhelminthes; Trematoda; Strigeidida; Schistosomatidae.
AUCCAGCUGACGAGUUCUAAAUAGAAGGAAACUUGCGUCCAGGAU